RNAcentral lists this long non-coding RNA (343 nucleotides) under Hordeum vulgare. RNAcentral describes it as "long non-coding RNA (HVUL_LNC010051)". Lineage: Eukaryota; Viridiplantae; Streptophyta; Magnoliopsida; Poales; Poaceae. The record is from RNAcentral.
UUUUAACUGACAAGAGAGCCAGAGAAAAAUAGGAGCUCAUCUGAAAGAAAAGCUGUCCAGUGCCGACGAAAUGGCUUUGUGCGUGCUUUCUGUGUCAAGUGGGCAGGUGUGAAUUAUGUUAUUGUUGGGUACAUGUACAGUUCGUUGCUUCACACGGCACACGCAUAGGCUUAUUAUUUACCAAUGUUUGUCGGCUCACACGUCAUCCACAAUGUACACGUACAGUUGCUCCUAGUACUUUGAAAAGUCACAACGUUUCUAGAUACAACCAAGUUUACGUAAAAUUAUAUCAACAUCUACAAUAUCAACAACAGGUAUGGCGAUCAACACGACCUGUUCUAUC